AUUGAACGCUGGCGGCAUGCCUUACACAUGCAAGUCGAACGGCAGCGCGGGGCAACCUGGCGGCGAGUGGCGAACGGGUGAGUAACAUAUCGGAACAUACCCUAGAGUGGGGAUAACGUAGCGAAAGUUACGCUAAUACCGCAUACGCACUAAGGUGGAAAGUGGGGGAUUCGCAAGAACCUCAUGCUCAUGGAGUGGCCGAUAUCUGAUUAGCUAGUUGGUGAGGUAAAGGCUCACCAAGGCGACGAUCAGUAGCUGGUUUGAGAGAACGACCAGCCACACUGGAACUGAGACACGGUCCAGACUCCUACGGGAGGCAGCAGUGGGGAAUUUUGGACAAUGGGGGCAACCCUGAUCCAGCAAUGCCGCGUGAGUGAAGAAGGCCU
This 386-nucleotide ribosomal RNA is filed under the name uncultured bacterium. RNAcentral's name for it is "bacterial SSU rRNA". It matches the Rfam family "Bacterial small subunit ribosomal RNA", at positions 30 to 417 of the family's 1533-position model. The record is from RNAcentral.